CAAGUUACUUGUUGGGAUUAUG
RNAcentral lists this microRNA (22 nucleotides) under Capitella teleta. RNAcentral's name for it is "cte-miR-216c". Its record names the gene cte-miR-216c. The record is from miRBase by way of RNAcentral. Lineage: Eukaryota; Metazoa; Annelida; Polychaeta; Capitellidae.